RNAcentral lists this ribosomal RNA (2160 nucleotides) under Triticum aestivum (bread wheat). RNAcentral describes it as "partial small subunit ribosomal RNA". The record is from RNAcentral. Lineage: Eukaryota; Viridiplantae; Streptophyta; Magnoliopsida; Poales; Poaceae.
AUGGAGCGCAAGAACAGAACCCUCAUUGAGAUGGCACGGACGAUGCUUAAUGAGUACAAGACUCCAAGGAAGUUCUGGCCUGAAGCCACUGAUACUGCAUGCCAUGUCAUCAACCGUGUUUAUCUUCACAAGCUUCUAAAGAAGACAUCAUAUGAGCUACUAACUGGUAAGAAGCCAAACGUUAGUUACUUCAGAGUAUUUGGUGCUAGGUGCUGGAUCAAGGAUCCACAUCAGACUUCAAAAUUUGCAUCGAAAGCACAUGAAGGUUUUAUGCUUGGAUACGGAAAGGAUUCGCACUCCUACAGAGUCUUCAACCUCUUUCACUAUAAAGUGGUUGAAGCUGUGGAUAUGCGGUUCUAUGAGACUAAUGGCUCUCAAAGAGAGCACCUGCCAAAUGUGCUAGAUGAAGUCCCACCUAGUGAAUCUAUCAAGCUGAUGGGUACUGGAGAAAUCAUACCUUCAGAAGCUCAGGCUGAAGAAGAAAUCAUCAUUGCACCAAAUCAACCCAAAGACAAUGCUCAGCCUGAAGUCAAUGCUGAAGCUGAAGACAAUGAUCUGCAAGGGCAAAAUCUUCGUCCAGUUCAUCCUCGUGUUGCAAAUGAAGUACAGAUUGAGAAGAUAAUCGAUAACAUCAAUGCACCUGGUCCACUCACUCGUUCAAGAGCAACACAGCUAGCAAAUUUCUGUGGGCACUUUGCAUUUGUCUCUAUAUCUGAACCCAAGAAAGUUGGUGAAGCCUUUAUGGAACCUGAAUGGAUUCAAGCUAUGCAAGAAGAGCUUCAACAGUUCGAGCUGAAGAAUGUAUGGGAAUUGGUCAAGCGUCCUGAUCCUCGCAAGCACAAUAUCAUAGGCACCAAAUGGAUCUAUCGCAACAAACAAGAUGAGCAUGGUCAAGUUGUCAGAAACAAGGCUCGUCUAGUUGCCCAAGGUUACACUCAAGUUGAAGGGAUUGACUUCGAUGAAACAUUUGCUCCCGUGGCUAGGCUUGAAGCCAUUAGCAUACUACUAGCCUAUGCCAACCAUCACAACAUUCUUCCGUACCAAAUGGAUGUGAAGAGUGCCUUUCUCAAUGGCAAGAUUGAAGAAGAAGUGUAUGUUGCACAACCACCUGGCUUUGAAGAUCCAAAACAUCCUGAUAUGGUAUACAAGCUCAACAAGGCACUGUAUGGCCUCAAACAAGCUCCUCGCGCUUGGUAUGACACACUCAAAGACUUCCUGAAGAGCAAAGGCUUCAAACCUGGUUCUCUAGAUCCUACGCUCUUCACGAAGACAUAUGAUGGUGAACUGUUUGUGUGCCAAAUCUAUGUGGAUGACAUUAUCUUCGGCUACACUGCCAAGAGAUACAAUGAUGAGUUUGGGUACAUGAUGCAAGAGCAAUAUCAGAUGUCCAUGAUGGGUGAGCUGAAAGUUUUCCUUGGUCUUCAAAUCCGUCAGCAGAGCAACGCCAUCUUCAUAUCACAAGAGAAAUACCACAAGGAUUUCCUGAAGAAGUUUGGAAUGCAAGACUGCAAAGGAUACACAACGCCAAUGCCAACCAAAAGUCAUCUGGGCCCUGACGACAAUGGUAAAGAGUUCGAUCAAAAGGUAUACCGCUCCAUGAUUGGUUCUUUACUCUAUUUAUGUGCAUCUAGGCCAGAUAUAAUGCUUAGCGUUUGCAUGUGUGCCCGAUUCCAAGCGGCACCAAAGGAAUCGCAUCACUUAGCUGUGAAGCGAAUUCUUCGAUAUUUGGCUUACACCCCAACACUAGGAUUAUGGUAUCCAAAGGGCUCAGAGUUUGAUCUAGUUGGAUUCUCAGAUGCUGAUUAUGCUGGUGAAAAGGUUGAUCGCAAGUCCACAUCAGGCACAUGUCACUUUCUUGGACGAUCUCUUGUCUGUUGGUCUUCAAAGAAGCAGAACUGUGUAUCUCUCUCCACUGCUGAAUCUGAAUACAUUGCUGCUGGAUCUUGCUGUGCUCAGCUUCUAUGGAUGAAGCAAGCUCUCAAGGACUAUGGCAUCCAUCUGAAGCAUGUGCCACUCUACUGCGACAAUGAAAGCGCCAUGAAGAUUGCCAACAACCCAGUUCAGCACUCAAAGACAAAGCACAUUCAUAUCCGUCAUCAUUUUCUCAGAGAUCAUGUCAUGAAGGAAGAUAUUGAUAUCAUUCACGCCAACACUGAAUAG